CCUACGGUGGGCAGCAGUGGGGAAUAUUGCACAAUGGGGGGAACCCUGAUGCAGCGACGCCGCGUGGGUGAAGGAGCACCUCGGUGCGUAAAGCCCUAUCGGCAGGGAAGAAAGGCGGGCGGGGCCCGUCUGGACGGUACCUGACUAAGAAGCCCCGGCUAACUACGUGCCAGCAGCCGCGGUAAUACGUAGGGGGCAAGCGUUAUCCGGAUUCACUGGGUGUAAAGGGAGCGUAGACGGCGACGCAAGUCUGGAGUGAAAGCCCGGGGCCCAACCCCGGGACUGCUCUGGAAACUGCGGCGCUGGAGUACGGGAGGGGCAGGCGGAAUUCCUGGUGUAGCGGUGAAAUGCGUAGAUAUCAGGAGGAACACCGGUGGCGAAGGCGGCCUGCUGGACCGUGACUGACGUUGAGGCUCGAGAGCGUGGGGAGCAAACAGGAUUAGAUACCCGUGUAGUC
This 457-nucleotide ribosomal RNA is filed under the name uncultured bacterium. RNAcentral describes it as "partial 16S ribosomal RNA". It matches the Rfam family "Bacterial small subunit ribosomal RNA", at positions 338 to 795 of the family's 1533-position model. The record is from RNAcentral.